GUAAAGAACCUGCCCUCAGGUCUGGGAUAACCACGAGAAAUCGGGGCUAAUACCGGAUGGGUCAUCGGACCGCAUGGUCCGAGGAUGAAAGGCGCUUCGGCGUCGCCUGGGGAUGGCUUUGCGGUGCAUUAGCUAGUUGGUGGGGUAAUGGCCCACCAAGGCGACGAUGCAUAGCCGACCUGAGAGGGUGAUCGGCCACACUGGGACUGAGACACGGCCCAGACUCCUACGGGAGGCAGCAGUAGGGAAUCUUCCACAAUGGACGA
Molecule: ribosomal RNA, 266 nt
Filed under: Exiguobacterium aurantiacum
Lineage: Bacteria; Bacillati; Bacillota; Bacilli; Caryophanales
Description: partial 16S ribosomal RNA
Rfam family: Bacterial small subunit ribosomal RNA
Source: RNAcentral